CCUAAAUCCUUUAAAGUUGGCAUUUUUAUCGUUUUGUCGUGUUAAUUAAGCCUUUAAAAGCUAUUAGUAUCCUAGAAUUAUGCAUGAAUUCUGUUAAUUAGGUCUGUGCUUUGCGAUUUAAUUUGUAAAAAUUGAAUUUUGUUUCUCGAAUUUUUAGGUUUAGUCUCGCUUAAUUGCUUAAUGAUUCUGGAUUUUACUGUUCAAGGUGUAUUUGUAGAUAAGUAAUUGUUAUUUUUUCUGCAUUUAGUUGUUAGGUUGAAAUGAAUGAUAGGAUAAAUUUGAAAUUUUGGCAUAGUGGGUUGUUCAAAGGCAUAAAUAAUGGUGGUUUGGUGCAUGAGGGAGGUGUUGGCAGAACUAAAGCAAUUGAUCUAGAUUUAGUGAGUUUCUUUGACCUUAUUUAGUUAACCAAGGAGGUUAGUAGGGAUAAAGAAGUUAAAGGUGUUUUACUCUUGGUUCUUGGGCUUAGUAUGGAAAAUGGAUUGAGGAGACUGGAGGGUGAUGAAGAUGCUAUGGAGGUAGCAGCUUUGGGUGUUAAGUAUAAGGUGUGUGGAGCUAUAUAUAUAUAUAAUUACCAGAACUUGAACCAAAAGAGCCCCCACCUGUUCAAACACACUUCCAACCACUUACACAAGCUUCACAGUCUACCCCGCUCUCAUCCAAGCAUAACAAAAAGAAAAGUAAACCAAAAAGGGGCCCACCCACUGUAUUGACUCAAGUAAGGUCAAGUCCUAGGACAAAAAAGCCACUGCUUCAACAUUAAUUCUAAAAUUUCCACCCAAUCUUGACCAUGAGCUGGCCAAAAAAGAAUCUUUCGCAUCAACCAAACAUAAAGCUGACCCAAGCUCACCCCUUCUUACCCAUACUACUACAUCUUCAGAUCUAGUUUUUUUAAAGCACCCAACUCCACAUAAAACCCCUAAAGCACAAACUACUACUGUAACAAAAAUCACCAGUGUGCCAGAUGACUAUAAGUGGCUUGAUAACAGGCUUGAAAGUCCUAUGAGGAUUGAUGAGCUGCUGCAUAGUUACAAUAGUGAUGAAAGUGAUGGUAAAGACCCUCUUUAUAACCCUGUAGUAGAUUAAGGGAAAGGUGUAUUAGUUGAGAGUAGUAAGAAGGGGAAGGAUCUCAGUGAAGGUGGUUUCUUUCAAGGAGUUUAUACUGAUGAUUAGUCAACUGAUGGAGAUGAUGAUGACUUGGAAGAAGAGGAUUUUGUAAGGGGAUUGGAAGGUUUAGAUGCAGAGUUAGAUGAUCAAUAUAAUGAGGCCAUUUUUUAUGAUAAGGAACUGUAUGACUCUGAGGUUAGUGAUGAAGAGUACUCUCAGGCAAAAGAGAGAGUGAAGGCUUGUACCACACAACUUGUACAAGCAGCUGAUCAGUUAGCUAAAGAAGUAGUGCAAGGGAAGGUGUGUAUUGUGAAUCCAGAAGAGGAAGCAAAAUAAACUCACAGUUUGUCAGAAUAUGAAAAGAGUGAUGAGGAAGAAAAUACUCCACCAACAACUGAAGAUGAAGGUCUUGAGGCUAACAGGAGAAAUAGAUCAGGUUUGUUAGUUAGCCCAAACAUCGAUUUUUCUCGGUUUAAUUGGAGAGUAGGGUUGAGGUUUGCAAAAAGGGAUGACUUCAAAGAAGCAAUUUCAAAGUAUGCAGUAUUUAAAGAGAAGAAUCUUGUGAUCAAUGACAGCAACAAGAGAAGGGGUCAGAGAAUUGGAGCAAGGUACAUUAAGGGUUGUCCUUUUAGGGUGUAUGCUCUUGGCAUACUGGAAAGGCUAAACUGUUGGUGAAGAGAGUGUGUAAUAAGCACACUUGUCAAAGAAACAUGUAGAAAAACAGGCAAUUGAAGCCAGAUGGGUUGCUUAACAGUUUAUCGAUGUUUUCAAAACAAGACCUCAUUAGCCUGCCAAGGAGAUUGUCGAAUUUAAGAGGGCUUACAAGAUUAUAGUGACUAGGAUUUUUUCUAGGGCUGUAAAAAAAAACCGACCUGGUUGUCCCGUCCCGAUUACCCGAUGACCCGCAAAAAACCCGAUGGGAAAUUGACAAAUUUUUCUGUAUAUUCGGGUCGGGUACCCGUCCCGCUAAAAUAGCAGUUUCGUGGGCCGGGACAUGGGACAAACUUUGCUAAAAUCGGGUACCUGGAUACCCGUUAAAAAAAACAAAAAAAAAAAAAACUAAAACUAAAAAACGUACUAUACCCAUUACCCACCCUAUCUUCUUCUCUUUCUUUUUAGAUCCUCAUCCUCCUCUUUCUCUCUCCUCUUCCCCCUGUUACUCUUUGUCACUCUCUCUCUCUCUCUUUCUCUCUCUCCUUCUUACGCUCUCCUCUUCUCUCUCCUCUCCUCUUUGCUUUCUCUUUCCUCCUUUUCACGCUGUUCUAGUGGUGAUGACGAAUACAGUGGCGUGCGGAGGUGAUGAAUAAUACGGUGACUUGCGGUGGUGAAUAUUUAUUUGACAGCAACAAUUCGUUAGCCAUAUGAUUCAUAUUUCAUCCAUUCAUUAAAUAAUCCUCCCGUUGUUCAUUAAGUCAUCGUUGGUGAUACGACAAAUUUUUCGCCAUCGAUCGAUGAUAAUAUAAUUAGAGAAGAAGCAGGGUCAUCUUUAAUUUAUGGAGAAUAAAACAAAGAGAAGAAUGUGGAAGAAGAAGUAGACGCGUUUGCAAUUGAUGGGUCUUUUGCUAAUUAGUUUGUUCCUCCUCUAGUUCCUUUUCAACACCAUCUUAAGAAAGACAAGGUUUUUAUUAGAUUUUUCUUUUUUCCGAUUUUUGGGUACUAAUUUGUUUGUCAAAUUAUGCUUUUUUGAAUUUUGAGAAGUUAAUUUCUAAUAUUAUGUUCUGUUUUUUUGGGAUUCUACUUUUUAAUUUGAAUUUUGGGUUUUACAAUUUGAUUAUGGGUUUAUGAUUAUAAUUUUGUGCAAUUUGUUUAGCAUUAUGUUCAGUAGAUUCAAUUUUUGUUGCUUUAUAGUUUGGCUUCUUAGGAUCCAUUGCAUUCAAUUUCAAUAGAGUCAAUUUUUUAUAAAAACAUCAAAUAUAAACUUUGAAACUAAUUUUACAGCAGCUUUAGAUUCCAACUAAUUUUAAUUCGGAUACCCGUGUCCCGUCCCGAACCCGAAUUAUCCGGGACGGGACACGGGCUGACUUAUCAACUACCCGAAGAUCCGGAGAUCCGGAUUUUUGGGUACCCUAAAAUCCGGGUACCCGGAUCUGAACACCCCUAGUUUUUGCAUACAAGGUAAAGUAUGCAGCACACGGGCUAUUACAUGGGAGUAUGCAUGAGCAUUACCAGAAAGUGGGAGGGUACUUGGCUUAAUUGCAAAAGACCAGCCCUGGAAGUCACACUGAGUUAGUGACAAUCAUGGAAAAGGUUCCUCCACCAGGUUCCAGAGAUUAUUCAUGUGUUUUGAGGGGCUAGCUAAAGGGUGGAAGGAAGGGUGCAUGAAGGUUUUGGCUGUGGAUGCAUGUUUCUGAAAGACUUUCUUGGGUGGCCAGCUUCUUUGUGUUGUAGGGAGGGAUGCAAAUGACCAAAUGUACCCUGUGGCAUGGGAUGCUGUAGAGGGAGAAAACAACUUGAGCUGGGAAUGGUUCUUCAAGCAUCUGCAAGCAUGCCUAGACUUGGGUGAAGGAGAAGGAGCUGCCAUCAUUUCUGAUGAGCACCAAGCUAUCUUGAAUGCUGUGUCAACUGUUCUGCCAAAAGUAGAACAUAGGCACUGUGCCAGGCAUGUCUUUGCACACUAGUACAAGACCUAUAGAGGAAAUGAGUUCAAAUUGCAAUUUUAGAAAAUUGCAAAGUGUUACAACAAGCAGACUAUGAAGAUGCUUUGAAAGAGUUGAGUGAAAUCAACUGUGAUGUAGCAGAGGCAUUCAAGCUUUACAAUCCACCCUUCUUUUGUAGAGCUUUCCUGAAGACUUCAAUCAAAAUAGAUGUCAUCACCUCUAACAUUGCUGAAACCUUCAAUGGUUACAUAAUUCAGGCCAGAACCAAGCAUCUUAUGUACAUGCUUGAGGAGAUAAGAUCUGAUCUCAUGCAAAGGUUUGUCAAGAAAAGGCAAGAAAUGAGCAAAUGUAAUCCUGUUCUUUGCCCAAGAAUUCAGUCAAAGCUGAAUAAGGAGAAAGAUAAGGCUGCAUACUGUGAGGUCUUCCCUUAAACAGAGAUUCUCUUCAAUGUGGCUUACUACCUUGAUCUAGGCCUGAUCACGGAUCGGAUAUCCGAUCCGAAAGAGGAUUUCGGAUCGGAUAUCCGUAUCCGAAAAUACGGAUAUUUGAUAUCCGUAUCUGAUCCGAAAAUUUCGGAUAUCCGAAAAUCCGCAUAUCCGAAAUUUUUGGAUCGGAUAGUUCGGAUAUCCCAUAUCCGACUACUUUAAUUACAGGUUUUUUAAAUGGAAAAAUUGAUUUUUUUAUUCCCAUUUUUUUCUCAUGUUCUCGUAUACUCCCAACCAACAAUUAAUUUUCAGAAAAAAAAUAAUAAAAUAAUAAUGGCUAAACUAAUGAAGAUCAAUUUCCCAAAAAUAUAUCAAAAUUAUCAAAAAAUUAAAACAAAAAAGCGGCCUACUCUAGAAACUGAACCCAGAUACACACAAUUGAAAACUCCAAGCAAAUCAAUUGAAGCAGAGCAAGGGAAUAUAAUAUAAUCUAAAAUUACAAUUAUAUACAAAAAUACAAAUAAUUAAAAUCUGAAAUUUGAAAAAAAAAUAAAACUACAUCCAAAUUCUAACCUAAAUUAAAUUAGAUAUGAAAUCGGCCUCGUUGGUGUCGGUGACUCGGUGUUAAUGUUGACCACAAUCUGUGUUGUUGUUGCUCGUUGUUGAAAACCGCAGGUGUUGCUCGGUGUUGCUGUUGGUCGCUGUUGGCAACCGCCAGUGUUGCUCGGUGUUGUUGUUGUGGAGUUAAAAGUUGAGACUUGAGAGAAGAAAGAAUGGAGUAUGGACAUGAAGAGGAUAGAGAAGGAAAAAAAUAAUGUAAUAUGGAGUUAAGAGGAGAGAGAAAAGAAAGGGAGGAGAGAGAAAAGGGAGGCAUGCGUGAGUAGUACUAGUGACAGAGGAGAAAAUGGAGGAGAGAGAAAAAGACAGGGAGCAAAGGAGAAAAGGGAGGAGGCGUGACAGUAGAGGAGAAAAGGGAGGAGAGAGAAAAAAAAAAAUGGGUGGUUGUUAUUUAAUUAGGUUUUUUUUUUAAUAGGAGGUAUUUUUACGUUUCCUACUUUCGGAUUAUUUUGGAUAUUCGGAUAUCCGAAAUCCGAAAUUUCGAUAUCCGAAUCCGAUUCGAUAUUCGAAAUUUUCGGAUCGGAUAUCCUAAAUUUUCAGAUCGGAUUUUUGGAUUUUCGGAUAAUCAGAUAGUUUUGCUCAGCCCUACCUUGAUCAGGUUGUAGUUGAUUUGGAUGCAAAAAGUUGUACAUGCAGGAAAUGGGAUAUGCUAGGCAUUCCCUGCUUGCAUGCAUGUGCCUGCAUCUUCUUUCUAAACAAAGAAGCAGAAGAAUUUGUGGAUCCUUGUUACACUAGGGAGAAUUAUCUGAAAGCAUAUGUAGGUAACUGUUCUUUCCCUUCCAUUCUCUGUUUUGUGUCUAGUUGAGAUUUUACAUAAGUCAUGCAAUUGAUUCCCUUCAUUAAUGUGACUUGAUUAUUGUGUGUGUACUAUGUGUUUAACUCAAUGUAUACAGAUAUGACAGGAUCAAUUCCACCCUUAGAGGGUGAAAGAUAUUGGACUAAAAUUGUCUGCUCACUAGACCCACCUCCCCUUAAAAUAGGACCAGGGAGGCCAAGAAAGAACAGGGUUAAGGACCCUUUUGAGAACCCCAAGAAACCAGGAUUUUUUAACUAAGACUGCUAUUGAAAUGUCUUGUUUUGUCAGCAAAUCCAAAUACCAUAACAAGAGGACAUUACUAGAAAUUCCGAUUUCCGCAGACAGUUUUUGACGGACACGUAUUUCCGUCGAAAAAAUCAGAAAUUCCGACGGAUGCAAAGAGAAGGGGCGUAGUUGAAAACCUCUCCAACUCCGACGGAAAUUUCCGUCUGAAGAGGUAUAUUCCGACGGAAUCUCAAUUAAAGUCAAAAAAGCGCCGACAGAAAAAAAUCCGUCGAAAACUAGCCUUCCGACGGAAAUGGUCGAAUUUCCUACGAAGGGUUUUGCGACUAAACAUUCCGACGGAAGACCAAUUUUCGAAGGAAUUUCGACUGAUUCCGACGGAUUAUUUUCGUCGGAAUCAAGCUGUUUUCUAGUAGUGGGAGAUGCCCAAAUAAGGAUUAUGCAGACACCUCCACUGAACCACCCUAGAAAAAGCCUAGGGGAAGGCCUAGGAAAGAUGGCAACCCAGUCCAAACCCCUCUGUCAGCAAUUGAAAGUGCACCUGCUGCACACCAUAACAUCUCUGCCCAACCCACGCUACUUGGGAGAGGUUCCAGAGCAAUUAGAGGUGGAAAAGGUGCAAGAGGAGGUCAAAAAUCUGCAGCUACUACUUCAGAUGCAAGACAGUCUGAAGGUGCUUCAGGUUUAGCACAACCUGCAACUGCAGCAGCAGGGCAAGGAAAAACAAGGGGUGGGAGAUUUAGAGGUGGUAGGGCAGAGAAGAGCCAACUUUCAUGAGCCAAGGGGGGUUGGAGUUAUCAUUGGUAAUGAUGGGUCUAUACUUAACAAUGUGGGGGGAAAAUCUGCAAGAGAGCAAGCAGGGACAACAACCACCAUGAAGAGCAAGAGAUCAUUAGGUGACCAAACUUUGAAUUACAUCAUUGGUGGUCAAUCAAGUCAGCAAUCAACCCUCCACAACCCAACUCAGUAGUACUUCAAGACUAUGUGCAUGUAUAAAACAAUUAUGACCUUAGGUUGUCUAUGAAUCUAUUAUGCAACUCUGUUUAUUUUGAAAACUACUAUACAGUAGCACCAGCUUGUUAAUUUGCUGGAUAUUUUGGAUUUGGCUACUUGGGUUGCAAUAUAUAUUUUGGCUAUUUUGUUGAAACAAUUAUGUUAAGAUUAAUCAUUGUUGCAAUGUACUAAGUUCAAAUCAUAUGAUACAUGUAUUGACUCAACGUGUUAGCAAGAAGAUUUUUUAUUUCACUGCAUAAAACGUCAUAGGUUACAUACCAAAACAACAAGUACUGAUAGCAAAACGUAAUUACUACUUAAUCCUAAGAUACUUGGAUUACAACUUCACACCACUUAAUUCAUUUCCAACUUACUACCCUUCUUCAUCAUGAAAACCACAAUGCCAAAAAACACCCAUGAAAAAAACAGAGCCAUUGUCAAAUUGGAUUCAUCCCUUGAAGACUUCAUGAGCUCAAUCCUUAAUUGGCUAAUUUCUGCUUUCAUCUCUUGUACUUCAUCCACAAAGUGGUCCCUUCUUUCCUUGCAAUCUCUUCACUUUGUCUUCUAACAUACUCUUUUGCAUCUCCAAUUCAGCAAUUAUUGUUUCCCAUUCAAAAUUUGAAAUCUCAAGUCGUCACCGUUGUUAUAAU
Long non-coding RNA from Chenopodium quinoa (quinoa), 7426 nucleotides. RefSeq lists it as uncharacterized. The record is from RefSeq and is a predicted model, not a curated record. Lineage: Eukaryota; Viridiplantae; Streptophyta; Magnoliopsida; Caryophyllales; Amaranthaceae. The transcript has 3 exons.